AACUCAUGUUGUGGACACUUUCGUAAAUGGUCCUUAAAUCGUUCCCAUGUAUCAAACAAAGUUUCAAGAUCCAUCUGAAUAAAUAAAGAUAUCUCAUUUUGAAGCU
This is a small nucleolar RNA of Dioscorea cayenensis subsp. rotundata (Guinea yam), 106 nucleotides long. NCBI's taxonomy places the organism in Eukaryota, Viridiplantae, Streptophyta, Magnoliopsida, Dioscoreales, Dioscoreaceae. The record is from RefSeq and is a predicted model, not a curated record.